ACGCCGGCGGCAGGCCUAACACAUGCAAGUCGAGCGGUAGAGAGAAGCUUGCUUCUCUUGAGAGCGGCGGACGGGUGAGUAAUGCCUAGGAAUCUGCCUGGUAGUGGGGGAUAACGUUCGGAAACGGACGCUAAUACCGCAUACGUCCUACGGGAGAAAGCAGGGGACCUUCGGGCCUUGCGCUAUCAGAUGAGCCUAGGUCGGAUUAGCUAGUUGGUGGGGUAAUGGCUCACCAAGGCGACGAUCCGUAACUGGUCUGAGAGGAUGAUCAGUCACACUGGAACUGAGACACGGUCCAGACUCCUACGGGAGGCAGCAGUGGGGAAUAUUGGACAAUGGGCGAAAGCCUGAUCCAGCCAUGCCGCGUGUGUGAAGAAGGUCUUCGGAUUGUAAAGCACUUUAAGUUGGGAGGAAGGGCAGUUGCCUAAUACGUAACUGUUUUGACGUUACCGACAGAAUAAGCACCGGCUAACUCUGUGCCAGCAGCCGCGGUAAUACAGAGGGUGCAAGCGUUAAUCGGAAUUACUGGGCGUAAAGCGCGCGUAGGUGGUUUGUUAAGUUGGAUGUGAAAUCCCCGGGCUCAACCUGGGAACUGCAUUCAAAACUGACUGACUAGAGUAUAGUAGAGGGUGGUGGAAUUUCCUGUGUAGCGGUGAAAUGCGUAGAUAUAGGAAGGAACACCAGUGGCGAAGGCGACCACCUGGACUGAUACUGACACUGAGGUGCGAAAGCGUGGGGAGCAAAC
RNAcentral lists this ribosomal RNA (745 nucleotides) under uncultured bacterium. RNAcentral describes it as "bacterial SSU rRNA". It matches the Rfam family "Bacterial small subunit ribosomal RNA", at positions 33 to 773 of the family's 1533-position model. The record is from RNAcentral.